GUGGGGAAUCUUGCGCAAUGGGCGAAAGCCUGACGCAGCCAUGCCGCGUGAAUGAUGAAGGUCUUAGGAUUGUAAAAUUCUUUCACCGGGGACGAUAAUGACGGUACCCGGAGAAGAAGCUCCGGCUAACUUCGUGCCAGCAGCCGCGGUAAUACGAAGGGGGCUAGCGUUGCUCGGAAUUACUGGGCGUAAAGGGCGCGUAGGCGGACAGCUUAGUCAGAGGUGAAAGCCCAGGGCUCAACCUUGGAAUUGACUUUGAUACUGGAUGUCUUGAGUUUGGGAGAGGUGAGUGGAACUCCGAGUGUAGAGGUGAAAUUCGUAGAUAUUCGGAAGAACACCAGUGGCGAAGGCGACUCACUGGCCCAAUACUGACGCUGAGGCGCGAAAGCGUGGGGAGCAAACAGGAUUAGAAACCCUGGUAGUCC
Molecule: ribosomal RNA, 425 nt
Filed under: uncultured bacterium
Lineage: Bacteria
Description: partial 16S ribosomal RNA
Rfam family: Bacterial small subunit ribosomal RNA
Source: RNAcentral